This 427-nucleotide long non-coding RNA is filed under the name Zostera marina. RNAcentral's name for it is "long non-coding RNA (ZMAR_LNC005100)". Lineage: Eukaryota; Viridiplantae; Streptophyta; Magnoliopsida; Alismatales; Zosteraceae. The record is from RNAcentral.
CGAAACGUCGUAUCGACUCUACAACAUAUUUAUAUUUUUUCAGGUUUUUCUUCCAUACCUCCCUUUCGUCGGGAUUUAUAUGUUGACCUUAUGACACUGCUCAGACUUCCAGAGGUGGGUUUAUGUCUGGAUGGCGAGGGUUGUUUCUAUUCCCUCUCCACGGGAUGCCGACUCACACGACAAGCUAAUUGCAACUUGGUAUAUUUUGCGUCCCACCCUCUUUUUUUCAAUAGGCUGACGAGUCGACAUCAUGGACACUUUAUCUAUAGUCGGCGGGCUGAAGCAUCGCAUCGAAUACCCCUUUGGGAUUUUUACAAGUUGGUCCAUUUUGUGUCACUCCCUCCUUUUUUAUCAGACUGGCAAGUCGACAUCACGGACACUUUAUUUAUAGUCGACGGGCCGAAACGUCACGUUGACAGUACAAAAU